AGUGAACGCUGGCGGUAGGCCUAACACAUGCAAGUCGAACGGCAGCACAGUAAGAGCUUGCUCUUACGGGUGGCGAGUGGCGGACGGGUGAGGAAUACAUCGGAAUCUACUUUUUCGUGGGGGAUAACGUAGGGAAACUUACGCUAAUACCGCAUACGACCUACGGUUGAAAGCAGGGGAUCUUCGGACCUUGCGCGAUUGAAUGAGCCGAUGUCGGAUUAGCUAGUUGGCGGGGUAAAGGCCCACCAAGGCGACGAUCCGUAGCUGGUCUGAGAGGAUGAUCGGCCACACUGGAACUGAGACACGGUCCAGACUCCUACGGGAGGCAGCAGUGGGGAAUAUUGGACAAUGGGCGCAAGCCUGAUCCAGCCAUACCGCGUGGGUGAAGAAGGCCUUCGGGUUGUAAAGCCCUUUUGUUGGGAAAGAAAAGCAGCAGGUUAAUACCACGCUGUUCUGACGGUACCCAAAGAAUAAGCACCGGCUAACUUCGUG
RNAcentral lists this ribosomal RNA (492 nucleotides) under uncultured bacterium. RNAcentral describes it as "partial 16S ribosomal RNA". It matches the Rfam family "Bacterial small subunit ribosomal RNA", at positions 29 to 507 of the family's 1533-position model. The record is from RNAcentral.